Molecule: microRNA precursor, 85 nt
Organism: Gossypium arboreum
Lineage: Eukaryota; Viridiplantae; Streptophyta; Magnoliopsida; Malvales; Malvaceae
Rfam family: MIR7486 microRNA precursor family
Source: Rfam
CUUGGGAGAGCGUUUUGUCCACGUCAGUAAAGCGUGCCCUCAAGAAUGCGUUUUUUGCUGACGUGGACAAAACGCUCCCUCAAGG